Molecule: long non-coding RNA, 3316 nt
Filed under: Aquilegia coerulea
Lineage: Eukaryota; Viridiplantae; Streptophyta; Magnoliopsida; Ranunculales; Ranunculaceae
Description: long non-coding RNA (ACOE_LNC001808)
Source: RNAcentral
GGGUCUGUUUGAUUGGUCGUGGGAAAUAUUCCCACGCUAAACAUUACCCUCAAAAUUCCCCGAUGUCUGUUUGAUUGGUUAAGUUGGACCAGGUAAAAAUUUCAGGAUAAAAAUAUUUCUCGCGAAACUUUCCCUGACCCACCCCUAAAAAAAAUUCCCAGACUCCUGGGGUUUUUUGCGUUCUCUUCCUUGCCGCUUUUCUCUUCUCCCUUUUCUCUUCUCUUUCUCGCUUCACUACUGUUUCUCUCUUUCCUCCGUCAUUCACAAGCUCGACCACCUCUCUCCUCCAUCAUUCACAAGCAGGGAUUUCAUCAAGGUAAUCUAUCUCUCUCUCUCUCUCUCUCUCUCUCUCUCUCUCUCUCUCUCUCUCUCUCUCUCUCUCUCUCUCUCUCUCUCUCUCCUCUCUCUCCUCUCUCUCUCUCUCUCUCUCUCUCUCAAUUUCUGUUAAUUUCUUCAGCACUCGGAAAGCAAGCAAUCAAUCUUAACAAGGGUAAGAAGAAUACCACUUUUGUUUACGAGAUUGCAAUUACACCAUUAUCUUGCUUUCCCCAAACUCCCCCCUCUUUGUUUUCAAUCAAAACACCUUUCGAUCUAAUUUGAUUAAAAAUAUAUAUGUUUUUUUUUUCACAUAAAUCUGAACUGUGUUUUCUCCUUAUGUUCACAAUUGUAUUAAUUUUUGUUUUAUAUAUCUUGACGAUUAAGAGUAGUGAAACUGAAUGACAUUGGGAAGAAAGAAAUUGGGGAUAACAUUGUCAGACAAGGAUCAUAGAACAAUGGUAUUGAUAUGUAAUAAAUAAGGACAAUAGAGUUAUCCCCAAGUUGUAUAUAUUUUCAUCAAAUGGUAGUCAGCUAAAGCUAUUUCUAUUAGGGUAUGUUCAAUGUAUUAAUGGGGACCAACUUUAGAUACAGAUACUAUGGACAAUAAGAUGCCUUCUCCAAAGCCUCUGAGUAGGAAAUUAAAGCCCUUUGAACUGACAGUAUGAGACUCGAUUAUUCAAUACGGAAGAGGGCAUUCACAUCUCACACCUCCAGUUUAGGAAGAUGCCGCAGUUUCUCAUGGUAAUGCUGUGGAGCAGUUGAAAAGCGGUUUGGGUCCCUUGGCUUGUUUUGAGGUGUUCUCUGCUUUGUAGGUAUUUUCAUCAACAAGAAGUGUUUAGUGUGACAACCAGGUCUUCAUAGCCAAAAUCUGAGAGGACUGGCACAUUUUUCAAAUUAGGCGUCUCUUUUAAAGGAGAAUAUAGAUUUGAAUUGGUCAGAACUCAUUGGGUGCUUAGGAGAAGAAGUGAGGAAUGUGGACUCCAAAGAUAUCAAAAAUUUUGAUUUUGUGUCCUCAUAUAUAGGAUUUCAUGGUCCCCUGCUCCUGUUGAUUUGGCUAAUUGAUAGGGUGACAUUUUCAGGAGCAUUCACUUGACACAAAUGAUGUAGGACAGAGUCUCUGGUUUAGGAAAGUAGUUGGACUGUACAUGGGAUGAUGGAAGCUGGUUGUGGUACCUAGCAUAUGGAAAAAAAUUGUGUCUGGUUUAGGAAAGUAAUAUUGUCUGCCCUAUAGGAGUGUCAUUAUAUAAGUUAUUGAAGAUUGGAAGUGUAUAUGUGAUAAUGUAAAAGAUUGCUUCAGGAGAGCACAAAACUAUAAAAGAUUGCCACAAGACGGGUAAUAUGUUCAAGUUGUGUUUGAAUUUAAAUCGAGUUUGUUCUCCAACUCUCCAUUUUAAUUUUUUGAAAAUGGGUUAUUGAUAGAUCUGGUAAUGAGAUUGAUUUGAAGAUUUAAAAAGUAAAAGGGGUUAUUAAUUUUAAACUUGAAUUUGAACGUUUCAAGUUUUGUAUAUCAAAUCUUCUCUAAUGAAUCUCUCUUUGUUUGUUAAUGGGGUUUUAGGUUAAGCUGGCUAAGGAAAAAAAAAAGUCGAAAGGAGAAGCCAGAAGGUAUGUAUUUUUUAUUUGUGAAUUGUUUAUUGAUCUUCACCACCACAAAUUUAAAAUGCAAUACUUAUUUGGUUUAACACAUUCUAAACGUAUCGAUAUCCUAAUGGUACUAUUGGUGUCGAAAAACAAGUAGUCCUUAUCGUCGUGCUAAACAAGUAGUCUUUUGUGUAUAAUUUUGCAUACUUGCUCGCCUCAUAGCAACACCAAGUCAUCAACCUAUUUUACAGCUCCCUUACAUGCUCCCAAAUUCUUUGGAAUGCUUUCUAUGUAUUAAAAAGUUAUGUUCCAAAAAUUAACAACAUUAAUCAGAUUUUUCCUGUUGAUUACAAAAUUAUUGUGCAAACUGUUUAUCACAAGUUAUGUUACAGGAAUGUGAUUGAGUUAAAGGUUAGUUCAUGAGGUUUUGAUCAAAUUUUAAUUAAUCUUAGUUAGAAUUUAGAAAUUUAAGGAGUCAUGGGAUUAUGGCUCAGAGAGAGACAUAAAGAUAGUACAUUGUUUGUUCAGUUGUAGUGUACAUGAUGUUUUGAUCGAAAAUCUCCCAAGAAUUCAGCAAUAAUCUGAUCAAAUUAAUUCAAAGGAAAUGGUCUUGGAUGUCUCAUUUGUCAUUUAUUGUAUUCACGUGUGACCAAGAAUUCAACAAUAAUCUGAUCAAAUUCAUUCAUUCAUGUUAUGACUAUGUACAUCAAUGAUCAAUCAUCAGUACACAUUAAUUGCUCUAAGAUCAAUUAUAACAUUAAGAAAAGUAUAGUAUAUAUUCUCAGAGAAUGUAACCUUUUAACAAAAUUAAUGAAGGUGUUUUGUUUACUUGUAGGCAAAUCCUAAUUUAAGAGGGCAUCGCUCAAGGCCCGUACCUUAUUAUGAUGAUUUGGACAUCUUAUAUAAAGAAGAAAAGGUCACAGGACUUCGUAGCUAUGAAGGAUCUGAGGUCUCUACCCACUCUAACAAUUCUGAGCACGGUGAGUAAACAUUUUCAUUGAUAUGUUAUAUUUUUUGUCUGCAACUUGUUCUUCAAGGUAAUUAAGUCAACAAAAAUUUCAUGUGAGCUAUUUUGCUAUUAGUUGAAGCUAUGCCCAUGAUCAGUAUUCAACAUCCAUUCGUCACAAGUCAAGAAAUUAACAUACAGUGAUACCAGAUUAUGUGCUAACGAAUUGAAUUUUGUUCAAGUUUUGACCCCCAUAGUUUAAGAAAUAGUGGCCCCAUGCAUUGUACAAAUACAUAAAUUUGAUGUUUUCUCCUUGUUUGGAAUUUAUAGAUAUUCACCGCAAGGAUGUGGAGGUUACUAGUGCAGAUGUUGUGACACCUAAUGAGAGGCGUAAAAGGAAACGUUGGGCAAGAGAGGACAAUGAAGAGAGAGUUUUGAUGAUGGGGAUGGUUGAGGCCGCAAAAGAGGUAGUUG